AAGAAAUUGAAGUUAAAGUGUAAAAGACUGGGCAUUGUAAAUUGCAAGGCCUGAGUUAAAAUGUAAAGGACCAGGUAUUGUUAAGUUCCUACGCUACAUGCAAAACCUGAAAUUCCUGUAGCUGUUAAGACAAUGCUUGGAACCGCCCAGUAAAUAUUUCCCCUGAAUGCCUGGUUGUUUAAUAACUUAAGGGCCCUGUGUGGCCUUGCACGUAGGCAUCGCAGGGCCUGGAUCAAUCAGUUUGAAUGUGUACCCUGCUUUAGAACUGACCUAUCACCCCCGCCUGACCUGUUCCCGCCAAUGAAUGAACUAAUCAUGUUUAGGAGUUGUUGUUUGAUUUUCCCGCGGUGUAUGAUGAUUUGUUAAAGGAGACUGUGAUGUAUGUAAAGUCCCCGCCCUCCCCAAAAAGUGUACUUAAGCGUUGCUCAACCCCU
RNAcentral lists this long non-coding RNA (434 nucleotides) under Marmota monax (woodchuck). The record is from RNAcentral. Lineage: Eukaryota; Metazoa; Chordata; Mammalia; Rodentia; Sciuridae.